GACGAACGCUGGCGGCGUGCUUAACACAUGCAAGUCGAACGGAAAGGCCCUGCUUGCAGGGUGCUCGAGUGGCGAACGGGUGAGUAACACGUGGGUGAUCUGCCCCUUACUUUGGGAUAAGCCUGGGAAACUGGGUCUAAUACUGGAUAGGACAUUGCUGUAGGUGGUGUGGUGAAAAGAUUAGUUUCGGUAAGGGAUGAGUUCGCGGCCUAUCAGCUUGUUGGUGGGGUAUUGGCCUACCAAGGCGUCGACGGGUAGCCGGCCUGAGAGGGUGGACGGCCACAUUGGGACUGAGAUACGGCGCAGACUCCUACGGGAGGCAGCAGAGGGGAAUAUUGCACAAUGGGCGCAAGCCUGAUGCAGCGACGCCGCGUGGGGGAUGACGGCCUUCGGGUUGUAAACUCCUUUCAGCCAUGACGAAGCCCUUGUGGUGACGGUAGUGGUAGAAGAAGCACCGGCUAACUACGUG
This 469-nucleotide ribosomal RNA is filed under the name uncultured bacterium. Its description in RNAcentral is "partial 16S ribosomal RNA". It matches the Rfam family "Bacterial small subunit ribosomal RNA", at positions 28 to 507 of the family's 1533-position model. The record is from RNAcentral.